Molecule: non-coding RNA, 1820 nt
Organism: Miniopterus natalensis
Lineage: Eukaryota; Metazoa; Chordata; Mammalia; Chiroptera; Miniopteridae
Source: RefSeq, a predicted model, not a curated record
AGAAUGAAUUCCUAAGUUAGCGCUGUUUGGAUGCACGAUUUUGUACUCAAGACAUUGACAUGAAGCCCCAAAUACUUCUCAGAAAAGGCAAUGCAUUGGCUUAGGUGAGAGCAGCCCUUCUCCAACCAAGGUUCAAAACCUCUGACCAAGAAGAGCAGACAGGGGGCGCAACUGGACAAUCUGGUUGUCUCAACUGUGAAACCUAGAGAAUUGUGGGACUUGUAGUUUUUCUUGCACUGUUUAGGCUUGGUAAACUACAUUUCCCAAAAUGCAAAUGUAGCCAGUCAGUGCCACCAUCGGACUUGGAAGCGUCCUUAAAGCUGUGAAAGAAUGAACUUUGGGUUGACUUUCAGGGCAGCGAAAGGCUGCUGGAUGGUGAAGUUCAGCCAACAGUGCUCACAUGGAUCCAUUGGGUUAUUUGUGCCACCAAGUCCCCCCGUGGACCCUGAGAAGGUCAAAGAGUUACAGCGCUUCGUCACCCUUUCCAAGAGACUCCUAGUGAUGACUGGGGCAGGAAUCUCCACUGAGUCAGGGAUCCCAGACUACAGGUCAGAAAAGGUGGGACUUUAUGCACGCACUGACCGAAGGCCCAUCCAGCACAGGGAUUUUGUACGGAGUGCUUCAGUCCGCCAGCGGUACUGGGCAAGAAACUUUGUGGGCUGGCCUCAGUUCUCUUCUCAUCAGCCCAAUCCUGCACACUGGGCCUUGAGCAACUGGGAGAGACUCGGAAAGCUGUACUGGUUGGUGACCCAAAAUGUGGAUGCCUUGCACACCAAGGCGGGGAGUCAGCGCCUAACAGAGCUCCACGGAUGCAUGCACAGGGUCCUCUGCUUGGAUUGUGGUGAACAGACUCCCCGUGGGGUGCUGCAGGAGCGUUUUGAAGUCCUGAACCCCACCUGGAGUGCUGAGGCCCAUGGCCUGGCUCCUGAUGGCGACGUGUUUCUCACAGAGGAGCAGGUGCAGAGCUUUCAGGUCCCCUCCUGUGCUCGAUGUGGAGGCCCCCUGAAACCAGAUGUAGUUUUCUUCGGGGACACAGUGAACCCCGACAAGGUUGACUUCGUGCAUAGGCGCGUCAAAGAAGCCGACUCUCUCUUGGUGGUGGGAUCGUCCUUACAGGUGUACUCCGGUUACAGGUUUAUCCUCACUGCCCGGGAGAAGAAGUUACCGAUCGCAAUACUGAACAUUGGGCCCACUCGGUCAGAUAACUUGGCAUGUCUGAAACUGGAUUCUCGUUGUGGGGAGUUGCUGCCUUUAAUAGACCCACGCUGACCACAGCCUAUGUUCCUGAGCCAGAAGCUGACACUUCUGCUUGUAUCCUGCUGCUAAAGAUCCCUGAGCAUUCAUCCCUUCUUUUUUUAACUAAUGGAAGCUCACUGAGUGCAGCCUGUAGAGGGCAGCAAACCAACAUCUCGCUACCAGCCACUCUGAACUGGGCAGGUUUCAGAGCCAAGGAGUUAAAAUCUUUAGGAGGAUGAGAUUUGCCCCUGAAAAAAGACUUUUUCUAAGCAGCAGCCUCUCCUGAUAGGAAAACUGCGUUCACUUCCUUUUUAUCUCACCAGGCAGAAGAAAUGGCCCGAGAAAUAUGUAGGUCAGAAUGGUCUCUGGAAUACUAACCAACCCAGGGGUUUCACUAAUGUGUAUGUGGGCGUGGGGGGAGGUGGGGAGCAGGGAGUAAUGCAAGAAGGAAAUGACUUAAUUUAUAAUUCUAAAUGGUUAAAUGUCUUUAACUGAACCAUUCUGGUAUAUUCUUUUGAAAAGAUGAACUAUGCUAUGAAUGAAUUUUUUAUUAACCAAGGAAUAAAGGAAUCAUUUUUAAAAUA